AUACAUGCAAGUCGAACGAACUCUGGUAUUGAUUGGUGCUUGCAUCAUGAUUUACAUUUGAGUGAGUGGCGAACUGGUGAGUAACACGUGGGAAACCUGCCCAGAAGCGGGGGAUAACACCUGGAAACAGAUGCUAAUACCGCAUAACAACUUGGACCGCAUGGUCCGAGUUUGAAAGAUGGCUUCGGCUAUCACUUUUGGAUGGUCCCGCGGCGUAUUAGCUAGAUGGUGGGGUAACGGCUCACCAUGGCAAUGAUACGUAGCCGACCUGAGAGGGUAAUCGGCCACAUUGGGACUGAGACACGGCCCAAACUCCUACGGGAGGCAGCAGUAGGGAAUCUUCCACAAUGGACGAAAGUCUGAUGGAGCAACGCCGCGUGAGUGAAGAAGGGUUUCGGCUCGUAAAACUCUGUUGUUAAAGAAGAACAUAUCUGAGAGUAACUGUUCAGGUAUUGACGGUAUUUAACCAGAAAGCCACGGCUAACUACGUGCCAGCAGCCGCGGUAAUACGUAGGUGGCAAGCGUUGUCCGGAUUUAUUGGGCGUAAAGCGAGCGCAGGCGGUUUUUUAAGUCUGAUGUGAAAGCCUUCGGCUCAACCGAAGAAGUGCAUCGGAAACUGGGAAACUUGAGUGCAGAAGAGGACAGUGGAACUCCAUGUGUAGCGGUGAAAUGCGUAGAUAUAUGGAAGAACACCAGUGGCGAAGGCGGCUGUCUGGUCUGUAACUGACGCUGAGGCUCGAAAGUAUGGGUAGCAAACAGGAUUAGAUACCCUGGUAGUCCAUACCGUAAACGAUGAAUGCUAAGUGUUGGAGGGUUUCCGCCCUUCAGUGCUGCAGCUAACGCAUUAAGCAUUCCGCCUGGGGAGUACGGCCGCAAGGCUGAAACUCAAAGGAAUUGACGGGGCCCGCACAAGCGGUGGAGCAUGUGGUUUAAUUCGAAGCUACGCGAAGAACCUUACCAGGUCUUGACAUACUAUGCAAAUCUAGAGAUUAGACGUUCCCUUUCGGGACAUGGAUACAGUGGUGCAUGGUUGUCGUCAGCUCGUGUCGUGAGAUGUUGGGUAGUCCGCACGAGCGCAACCCUUAUUAUCAGUUGCCAGCAUUAGUUGGCCCCUCUGGUGAGACUGCCGGGUGAACAAACCGGAGGAAGGUGGGGGAAUGAAC
RNAcentral lists this ribosomal RNA (1163 nucleotides) under Lactiplantibacillus plantarum. RNAcentral describes it as "bacterial SSU rRNA". It matches the Rfam family "Bacterial small subunit ribosomal RNA", at positions 51 to 1183 of the family's 1533-position model. The record is from RNAcentral. Lineage: Bacteria; Bacillati; Bacillota; Bacilli; Lactobacillales; Lactobacillaceae.